UCAAUCGAAAUGUUAAACACAACUGAAGCCAAUAAAAUACCAAAUAUUACAUUUUUUUUAUUUUUUCGAAAUUAAAUAGAAGUUUUGUUAUUAUGAAGAACAAAAAUGCUUUUAUAACUUAAACUUCGACUAUUGUUGAUUGAAGAACGUAAAACGUCGAAGCAAUUGUUAAGCGAUAGCCCGAACACGAUAUUGUUACAUCACCUUCAAUCUAAAUCUUAAACUAAUAGCAGCAAGAUGGAAAUUGCACUGUACGAGCUAAAUUGGACGUCUAAUAUCAAGACAAUGCCUUAGAUCAAGCACGUAAUCAUUGGAAGCUACGACGUUGUCGCGGUGGCAUCAGGAAGCCAAACUUUGCCUUGCGAAAUAAUCUAUUAAAAUAUAUUACGAACUAAAAAACAAUUUUAAUUUUCAGAUUUAAAAUUGCAUGAAAUUGAAGGAUUUAAAUAACCAAUCAAAGAAGUAUCUGAUUAAACAUAAACAAUUAAUAUGAAGUCAUCACAACUCCGAAGAACGUAAUAAGGUAGCUAGUGUUACCAGCCAUACCUACUAGAUAUCUAGGUAUAAUUAGGAACUUUUUUCGAUAACUUGUACUAGUUAAUUGUAAUAUUAUUUUAUUAAUAGUUAAUAAUAUCGAUUGGAUGAAUCGUAAAUUUAAUUAAAUACACAAAAAAAGAUGGACAUUGCUUGUUUGUUCUAAUUGAAUAAAAUAUAUUAUUAUC
Long non-coding RNA from Bombyx mori (domestic silkworm), 722 nucleotides. RefSeq lists it as uncharacterized. Lineage: Eukaryota; Metazoa; Arthropoda; Insecta; Lepidoptera; Bombycidae. The transcript has 2 exons. The record is from RefSeq and is a predicted model, not a curated record.